RNAcentral lists this ribosomal RNA (430 nucleotides) under Bacteroidota bacterium. Its description in RNAcentral is "Bacteroidetes bacterium partial 16S ribosomal RNA". It matches the Rfam family "Bacterial small subunit ribosomal RNA", at positions 355 to 776 of the family's 1533-position model. The record is from RNAcentral. Lineage: Bacteria; Pseudomonadati; Bacteroidota.
UAGGGAAUCUUCGGCAAUGGGGGGAACCCUGACCGAGCAACGCCGCGUGAGUGAAGAAGGUUUUCGGAUCGUAAAGCUCUGUUGUUAAGGAAGAACGAGUGUGAGAAUGGAAAGUUCAUGCUGUGACGGUACUUAACCAGAAAGGGACGGCUAACUACGUGCCAGCAGCCGCGGUAAUACGUAGGUCCCGAGCGUUGUCCGGAUUUAUUGGGCGUAAAGCGAGCGCAGGCGGUUAGAUAAGUCUGAUGUGAAAGCCCCCGGCUCAACCGGGGAGGGUCAUUGGAAACUGGUUGACUUGAGUGCAGAAGAGGAGAGUGGAAUUCCAUGUGUAGCGGUGAAAUGCGUAGAUAUAUGGAGGAACACCAGUGGCGAAGGCGACUCUCUGGUCUGUAACUGACGCUGAGGCUCGAAAGCGUGGGUAGCAAACAGG